Long non-coding RNA from Eptesicus fuscus (big brown bat), 673 nucleotides. RefSeq lists it as uncharacterized. The transcript is spliced from 4 exons. NCBI's taxonomy places the organism in Eukaryota, Metazoa, Chordata, Mammalia, Chiroptera, Vespertilionidae. The record is from RefSeq and is a predicted model, not a curated record.
CGGGGCCGGGGCCGGGCCGCGGUGGGCGCUGCUGGCGGCGCGGACCUGAGGCCCGGAGGGCUUCCGGAAGGGCUGCUCAGCAAAGGCGGCUCCGCUGGGCACCCGGAGUCGUUUGCCUUGAGCGGAUCUCAGGGCGAGCUGAUCCAGUCAAAUGUGAGGACCUGCAAAGUGGAGGACAAAGCCUGACUGAAGGUGGGUUUCGAGAAUACGUUUCAUCUCACCUCUGCCAUGGCUCAAACCUUCACUGUGAGUAAGUGGCACAUCUAUUUGCAGCAGAGGAGCACUGUGCCUGCCAGCCCUAUGUCUCUAGAAAUAAAUCAAUGGAAAAUAUAUCCUCAGGUGAGAAUAGAGAAAAAAGAAGAAGCAGGCUGCCAUGCUGUGAACUGCUUAUGGAGAGGGCCAAAUGGCAGCAAAUUGCAAGUGAACUCUUAAGAGUUGACCGUGGCCUCCCAUCAACAGCCAACAAAAAUCUGAAGCUCUCAGUCCUACAGCUGCAACAAAAUGAAUUCUGCUAACAACUUGAGUGAGCUUAGAAACAGAUCGUUCUCCAGUCUAGCGUCCCGAUAUGAACCCAGCCCUAGCUACCUUGCUUGUAACCUGGUGAAACUCUGAAGCAGAGAUCCAGCUAAGACAUGCCUGACUCCACAGAAACUGUGAGAUAAUAAAUGUAUGU